Molecule: long non-coding RNA, 249 nt
Organism: Oxyura jamaicensis (ruddy duck)
Lineage: Eukaryota; Metazoa; Chordata; Aves; Anseriformes; Anatidae
Exons: 2
Source: RefSeq, a predicted model, not a curated record
AAGCACUCUGUGAUUGCUUCUGAGGAACCCAGGGCGGAAGUGGCGUGCAGGGCUUGCAGAUAAACCUUAGGAGGAACCGGUCAAAGGAAAGAGCGCCUUCUGGAACUGUCAAGCCUUCAUUUGGCAGCUCGGUGACUGGCUUGGUCUACUUGUGAGGUGCUGAGGGAAGAUGUCUGCUGUUCCAAAACGAUACAAAUAGAAAAUGGGGUCCCUUGUGUUGUUGAGGGAUGGGUGCUAAUGCUGGCAGCU